Molecule: ribosomal RNA, 253 nt
Filed under: uncultured bacterium
Lineage: Bacteria
Description: partial 16S ribosomal RNA
Rfam family: Bacterial small subunit ribosomal RNA
Source: RNAcentral
GACGUAGGGCGCGAGCGUUGUCCGGAUUUAUUGGGCGUAAAGAGCUCGUAGGCGGCUUGUCGCGUCGACUGUGAAAACCCGCGGCUCAACUGCGGGCCUGCAGUCGAUACGGGCAGGCUAGAGUUCGGUAGGGGAGACUGGAAUUCCUGGUGUAGCGGUGAAAUGCGCAGAUAUCAGGAGGAACACCGGUGGCGAAGGCGGGUCUUUGGGCCGAUACUGACGCUGAGGAGCGAAAGCGUGGGGAGCGAACAGG